AAGUCCUCGUGGAUUAAAGGAGAGAACAGUGGAUAGAUCUCCUCGGCAGGAGCAGGACUGAAUGAUCCCUGCCCACUCCAGCCUGGGGCCAGUGCAGGAGGCAGGAAUCUGAACUGCCUGAUGCUCAAGAAGAGUCAUCUUUGAGCUGGCCUGAUGCCCACCUGCUUUAUUCCAGAUGUGGCCACGGAAAGUCCCUCAGGAAAGCAACCACAGGGAAGAAAGUCUU
Molecule: long non-coding RNA, 226 nt
Organism: Neopelma chrysocephalum (saffron-crested tyrant-manakin)
Lineage: Eukaryota; Metazoa; Chordata; Aves; Passeriformes; Pipridae
Exons: 3
Source: RefSeq, a predicted model, not a curated record